This 709-nucleotide ribosomal RNA is filed under the name uncultured fungus. RNAcentral's name for it is "LSU rRNA". It matches the Rfam family "Eukaryotic large subunit ribosomal RNA", at positions 53 to 781 of the family's 3401-position model. Lineage: Eukaryota; Fungi. The record is from RNAcentral.
ACGGAGAAGAACAACAGGGAUUGCCCUAGUAACGGCGAGCGAAGCGGCAACAGCUCAAAUUUGAAAUCUGGCUCUUUUAGAGUCCGAGAUUGUAAUUUGCAGAGGGCGCUUUGGCUUUGGCAGCGGUCCAAGUUCCUUGGAACAGGACGUCACAGAGGGUGAGAAUCCCGUACGUGGUCGCUGGCUAUUGCCGUGUAAAGCCCCUUCGACGAGUCGAGUUGUUUGGGAAUGCAGCUCUAAAUGGGAGGUACAUUUCUUCUAAAGCUAAAUAUUGGCCAGAGACCGAUAGCGCACAAGUAGAGUGAUCGAAAGAUGAAAAGCACUUUGGAAGGAGAGUCAAACAGCACGUGAAAUUGUUGAAAGGGAAGCGCUUGCAGCCAGACUUGCUUACAGUUGCUCAUCCGGGUUUCUACCCGGUGCACUCUUCUGUAGGCAGGCCAGCAUCAGUUUGGGCGGUAGGAUAAAGGUCUCUGUCACGUACCUCCUUUCGGGGAGGCCUUAUAGGGGAGACGACAUACUACCAGCCUGGACUGAGGUCCGCGCAUCUGCUAGGAUGCUGGCGUAAUGGCUGUAAGCGGCCCGUCUUGAAACACGGACCAAGGAGUCUAACAUCUAUGCGAGUGUUUGGGUGUCAAGCCCGAGCGCGUAAUGAAAGUGAACGGAGGUGGGAACCCGCAAGGGUGCACCAUCGACCGAUCCUGAUGUCUUC